Portunus trituberculatus (swimming crab) is the source of this 177-nucleotide long non-coding RNA. RefSeq lists it as uncharacterized. The record is from RefSeq and is a predicted model, not a curated record. The transcript is spliced from 2 exons. NCBI's taxonomy places the organism in Eukaryota, Metazoa, Arthropoda, Malacostraca, Decapoda, Portunidae.
CACGAUAACACGUAAACAGAAAACGGAGGUCUGCUAGUGAGGUAUUGGGGCAACUUAACUAAAUUAGGAGGGAGAACGAAUUAAAGAGAGAGAGAGAGAGAGAGAGAGAGAGAGAGAGAGAGAGAGAGAGAGAGAGAGAGAGAGAGAGAGAGAGAGAGAGAGAGAGAGAGAGAGAGA